Molecule: ribosomal RNA, 930 nt
Filed under: uncultured Bacillota bacterium
Lineage: Bacteria; Bacillati; Bacillota
Description: bacterial SSU rRNA
Rfam family: Bacterial small subunit ribosomal RNA
Source: RNAcentral
GGAUCCAGACUUUGAUUCUGGCUCAGGAUGAACGCUGGCGGCGCAUUUAAGACAUGCAAGUCGAACGAAAAUUUACGCUUAAAGAGUUGAUUAGUUUACUAAGAGAUGAUUUAUUGUAAAUUUUAGUGGCGGACUGGUGAGUAAUACAUAGGUAAUCUGCCUUUUAGAGGGGAAUAACUAGGAGAAAUCCUAGCUAAUACCGCGUAAGACCACACUUAGGCAUCUAAGAGAGGUCAAAGGAGUAAUCCGCUAAAAGAUGAGCCUGUGGCUGAUUAGUUAGUUGGUGGGGUAAGAGCCUACCAAGACGAUGAUCAGUAGCCGAGCUGAGAGGCUGGCCGGCCACAUUGGGACUGAGAUACGGCCCAGACUCCUACGGGAGGCAGCAGUUGGGAAUAUUGGACAAUGGAGGAAACUCUGAUCCAGUGACGCCGCGUGAAGGAAGAAGGUCUUCGGAUUGUAAACUUAUUUUAUCAGGGAAGAAGAAAGUGACAGUACCUGAAGAAAAAGGACCGGCAAACUACGUGCCAGCAGCCGCGGUAAUACGUAGGGUCCAAGCGUUAUCCGGAUUUACUGGGUGUAAAGGGCGAGUAGACGGCGCUGUAAGUCAGCUGUAAAAACUUAGGGCUCAACCUUAAGCCUGCAGCUGAAACUGUAGUGCUAGAGUGCAGGAGAGGUAAGCGGAAUUCCUAGUGUAGCGGUGAAAUGCGUAGAUAUUAGGAGGAACACCAGUGGCGAAGGCGGCUUACUGGACUGUAACUGACGUUGAGGCGCGAAAGUGUGGGGAGCAAACAGGAUUAGAUACCCUGGUAGUCCACACCGUAAACGAUGGAUACUAGGUGUAGGCGAGAUAUCGUCUGUGCCGGCGCAAACGCAAUAAGUAUCCCACCUGGGGAGUACGGCCGCAAGGUUGCAACUCAAAGGAAUUGACGG